Molecule: non-coding RNA, 68 nt
Organism: Desmophyllum pertusum
Lineage: Eukaryota; Metazoa; Cnidaria; Anthozoa; Scleractinia; Caryophylliidae
Source: the annotation of a GenBank genome assembly
GCCUCCGUGGCCUAAUGGAUAAGGCGGGCCUCCUAAGCCGUUUGCGGGUUCGAAUCCCGUCGGAGGUG